RNAcentral lists this long non-coding RNA (2196 nucleotides) under Triticum aestivum (bread wheat). Its description in RNAcentral is "long non-coding RNA (TAES_LNC006899)". The record is from RNAcentral. Lineage: Eukaryota; Viridiplantae; Streptophyta; Magnoliopsida; Poales; Poaceae.
ACAAAUUUAUAAUUUGAAUUUUAAUUCAUAGCAGUCAUAAUUCAAAUAAUUAAAGCUAUAAUUAAAAUUUAUAAAUUAUAGCCGUAAUUCAAUGUACACAUCAGAUUCAUGUUCAAAUGGCACAUACAUCAGACUAAAGGUCAGUUUAGAACCAGAUUCAAGGUCAGUUUGGAACCAAAACUUUAAAAAAAAUCUAUAUGCUACAACUAGCAGAAUACCUAUAAAUCAGCAUGUACAAGUGUUGUUGGUCAAGCCAAGUAUCUGCUACUGCAAAAAACAACAACUUGUAAUAGUAUGUUAUGUAUGCAUUGGCCCAAGAGUUGGUCUUCAAAAGGACUUCAUGUUCUACAUGUUGUUGAGCACACAAAGUUGGUGGUUCUGUGCUUGUUUCCAAAAUCCGCAAGCAACCGAACAAAUAGGAGGUGGUGGGCCCUUGUUGAUAGAUACUCCUUUAGCUGCCAAUGUCUACACAUGAAUAGGCAUAAACCAAUUGGUUAGUUCCAAAGGCUGGCAAGUACGUUGAUAAGCUCAAACUACAUAGCACCACCUCAAGAAUCUUCUUUGUGCAAGAGCCGGAAUUACAUGAUAGUAUCAUCGAUCAUCAGACCAUGACACACAUAAGAACAUGUUCUUGCACAUAAAAAAGACAACUCAAUGAUAAAUAAAGAGUGUGAACAACUAAUGGUUUCCUUUGUGCAAACAAACCAAACACAUAGUCAUCAUAGUAUGAUUUAAGUGCCUGAUGGUACAAAGGAUUUGUGCUAACCUGAUCUCAGUUUUUCAGAGAUGUCUCAUCUUCAUAUGUAGCAAACCAUGCUUCACACACCAUUGCUGGACUGGUCAUGCAGCCCUUUUGGCCAAUAAAUCAACAACAAUAUCAGUCAUAUUAGUAACUACAUAAUGAACCAAACUAUUUCUAGUUCUUGGUUCAAUUUUUCAUUGGUGUUGAUGGUUCAAGCCUAGCUCAAUUCAAUUGACACUACAAAAGUUAGUGUACAACUAGCGAUCAAAAUCAAAUCGACAUAAUAGUAGAUACUAGAUGGAAAUGGUGGUCAGUACAGCAUAUUCUUUAGUAAAAAGUUCAAUUUUUUUAUUUUGUUGGAACUUAGCCACAGUCUUGCAUAAUUACAUAGCCAUGAUAAUAUCGAAGGGGAAAUGCCUAUAUAGUAGAAAAUUUUCAUUUAUCAGGCCUCCUGAGACGACAAUGUGCUUAAGACCACAGCCUCACUAACUGCAGUAACUACUCCCUCCGUUUCUAAAUAUAAGUCGUUUUAGAGAUUUCAAUACGGACUACAUACGGAUGUAUAUAGACAUAUUUUAGAGUGUAGAUUCACCCAUUUGACUCCGUAUGUAGUCCAUAUUGAAAUCUCUAAAAUGGCUUAUAUUUAGGAACAGAGGGAGUAGAUAAUACCCCGCGUGUUGCUGCGGUACAUUUUCUCGACACUAGAUAUUACGUAGUGAUGAGUACACAAAGGAAAAGAAAAAGAAAAAAAAAGAAAAAAAGAGCUCGGGAGCCGAAUCACCCUGUCUCUCAAAGUGGUCAUUUUAUAACAAGAGAAGGUUACUAUACUUGUUGUGUGUCCAUAGAUGCAUUCAUAAUAACUUGAGAUUCAACACAGCUUCUAAUGAGUAUCUCUUGUUGCUGCGUUCAUGUCAAACAAUUUCUAAACUUACUCUUUUUUUACCGAUUAGAAUGUCUAUAAUUCCUGGGUAGAUUAUGCAACUGUGUCGAAUUUAUAAUAACUAUGUACUUGAUAGUUCAGAAAUAAUGUUACAUGGUUAUCCCCGGGUAGUCUAUUGAUCUUCUGAAUAUGCAGAUUUAUAGUGAAAGAAACAUUUUUCUCUACAAUGAACAGGCAUUGCCAAUAUAUAAUAUUGGCAAUUCUUGAUGGAAGGAUGAGUUCCAGCACACAAGUAAAAUAAUAGUGGGAGAUAUAUAUAGUCAUAUAGAGGUAACUUGUUGGAGAGUAGGGGGUACAACGUCGGGUAGAUCCGAUAGUCCUCGAACUAGCAUGCGUGACAAGGUCGCCAUGGAUGGCGCUGCGCCGUCAUCCCGGCCGGACUGGCCAUGACCAUCAUGCCCGUUAGUCACGGCAUGGUUCCACUGGAGCGCUGGAACUAGAGAAGGGGGAGAAGAGGGGACACGGCAGGGGUAGUACUAGGGUGCAGCGGGGCACACAGUAGGGCGGAGAGGAG